CACGGGUGAGGGGUUAGAUUAGAACAGGACAGGGUGAAGGGUUAGAACAGGACAGGGUGAAGGGUUAGGUUAGAAAAGGACUGGGGUGAAGGGUUAGAUUAGAACAGGACUGGGUGAAGGGUUAGGUUAGAACAGGACUGGGUUGGGGUGAAGGGUUAGAUUAGAACAGGACUGGGUGAAGGGUUAGGUUAGAACAGGACAGGGGUGAAGGGUUAGAACAGGACAGGGGUGUAGGGUUAGGUUAGAACAGGACUGGGGUGAAGGGUUAGAACAGGACUGGGGUGAAGGGUUAGGUUAGAACAGAACUGAGGUGAAGGGUUAGGUUAGAACAGGACUGUG
RNAcentral lists this long non-coding RNA (339 nucleotides) under Salmo salar (Atlantic salmon). RNAcentral describes it as "lncRNA (ENSSSAG00000111452.1)". Lineage: Eukaryota; Metazoa; Chordata; Actinopteri; Salmoniformes; Salmonidae. The record is from RNAcentral.